This 21-nucleotide microRNA is filed under the name Corchorus olitorius. RNAcentral's name for it is "hvu-miR504". The record is from RNAcentral. Lineage: Eukaryota; Viridiplantae; Streptophyta; Magnoliopsida; Malvales; Malvaceae.
AAGUAAUAUGGAACGGAGGGA